Papaver somniferum (opium poppy) is the source of this 353-nucleotide long non-coding RNA. RefSeq lists it as uncharacterized. Lineage: Eukaryota; Viridiplantae; Streptophyta; Magnoliopsida; Ranunculales; Papaveraceae. The transcript is spliced from 3 exons. The record is from RefSeq and is a predicted model, not a curated record.
CACCACAUCAUAUAUGGGUUCUACUGAUCAUGAUCACCGCCAGGGAGAUGAGUACAGAUCCUAUAUAUGUAUGGAGAUGAGCAUAAAGAUGUGCACCGGAGGCAUGGUGGUCCUCCUAUCUACGACCUCGUUAAUGAACUCUUCCAUCAAGGCCAAACAAACGUUUGGCCAGAGGGAUCUUUAGAGGAAACCGUACAGAACGCCAUUAAAACAUGGGAAAUGGAGCUUUCUCACAAAACUCGGUUACAGGAUGUGAACACAUAAAUCACGAGGCCAUCCAACAUCAAAACCAUCUAUGAAAUAAACAUUUUUGGAAAAUUCGGCUCGAAAAGUUGCCCGGGGCACCCUUAAAG